GGAGGGCACGGCAGCCCUCAGCAGCUUGUGUGGGUCUCAGAGAAGUUCACAGCUGCUGUCUGUCUCUGUUGGGAGAGACAGGGUGGAUGCCAGGACAGCCAGCUCCGGGAGCAGCGUGUGGGAAGGACAGCUGCAGAGCCUGGUGCUGUCAGAAUAUGCGUCCACAGAGAUGAGCCUGCAUGCCCUCUAUAUGCACCAGCUCCACAAGCAGCAGGCCCAGGCUGAACCUGAGCGGCAUUUAUGGCACCGCCGGGAGAGUGAUGAGAGUGGAGAAAGCGCCCCUGAUGAAGGGGGAGAGGGCGCCCGGGCCCCCCAGUCUAUCCCUCGCUCUGCCAGCUAUCCCUGUGCAGCACCCCGGCCUGGAGCUCCUGAGACCACCGCCCUGCACGGGGGCUUCCAGAGGCGCUACGGCGGCAUCACAGAUCCUGGCACAGUGCCCCGGGCUCCCUCUCAUUUCUCUCGGCUGCCUCUUGGAGGGUGGGCGGAAGACGGGCAGUCGGCAUCAAGGCACCCUGAGCCUGUGCCUGAAGAGGGCUCGGAGGAUGAGCUACCCCCUCAGGUGCACAAGGUAUAGACAAGGCUGAGCAGGUUUCCUGUGGCCCAGGAUGGAGGCCACCGCUGCCCUGCCAUCCCGUCUGCCUGCCAUGGGACGGCUCCUCUGAGUGUUGCCUGGCCCCACGUGUGUGGUGUUUGUGUGUCUGUGCCUGGCCAAGGGAGGUGCCAACACUGGGCUUGCCACAGCCCCAGGAGAGGAAUUUGGGGCCUAGGAACUGAGGGCACACGGGACUCUAGCCUCAUCCCCAGGACCCCCU
RNAcentral lists this small RNA (812 nucleotides) under Pongo abelii (Sumatran orangutan). RNAcentral describes it as "retained intron". Lineage: Eukaryota; Metazoa; Chordata; Mammalia; Primates; Hominidae. The record is from RNAcentral.